This 576-nucleotide ribosomal RNA is filed under the name Triticum aestivum (bread wheat). RNAcentral's name for it is "partial small subunit ribosomal RNA". The record is from RNAcentral. Lineage: Eukaryota; Viridiplantae; Streptophyta; Magnoliopsida; Poales; Poaceae.
AUGUUCAGCGCUGCUACUGCUAUCUCUCUCGGCAGCGGGGACUCUGCGAGGUUCUGGACGGACAAUUGGCUGCCGAAUGGUUGUUCGAUUGCCACCUUAGCGCCAGAGUUGUUCUCCUUCGUCAAGGACUCUGGCCGUUCUGUCCGUGAGGCCUUGCAUAACCAAUCCUGGACAAGAGAAAUCGAAGGCGGCAUAUCUGUGCAGGCGCUCGCCCAGUACCUAUCUGUCUGGGAUAUGGUGCAGGCCACCAAUCUUACGCCAGGUACGCGGGAUCGGGCAAUCUGGAAGCUUACUAAGGAACAAGUUUUUACGGUCAGCAGCGCGUACAGACUGCUCUUCAUGGCUAAUGUGUGUUUUGCCUAGGAGUGGUGGCUCCAGGCCAGAGCUGGCGUUCCUAAACCGAUGCGUCACAACUUCGACACUAUUACUAUUCUCAUGCACUAGAGGCUGUGGAAGGAGAGGAACUCCAGGAUUUUUGACCAGGUGGCAAGCAGCGCCGACAGGGUGCUGGAUUUGGUCUGUGAAGAUAUUGCUGUUUGGCGUGCGGCCGGUUGUAUUGUCGAGCUCGGAGCCUAA